UACAGAGGUCCCGAGCGUUGUUCGGAUUCAUUGGGCGUAAAGGGUGCGUAGGCGGUUUGCUAAGUUUGAUGUGAAAUCCCGGGGCUUAACCCUGGAACUGCAUUCAAUACUGCCUUGCUAGAGUACUGGAGAGGAGAUUGGAAUUUACGGUGUAGCAGUGAAAUGCGUAGAGAUCGUAAGGAAGACCAGUGGCGAAGGCGGGUCUCUGGACAGUUCCUGACACUGAGGCACGAAGGCCAGGGGAGCAAACGGGG
Molecule: ribosomal RNA, 254 nt
Filed under: uncultured bacterium
Lineage: Bacteria
Description: partial 16S ribosomal RNA
Rfam family: Bacterial small subunit ribosomal RNA
Source: RNAcentral